UGGCGACCGGCGCACGGGUGAGUAACACGUAUCCAACCUGCCCUUUACUCGGGGAUAGCCUUUCGAAAGAAGGAUUAAUACCCGAUAGUAUAAUGAUUCCGCAUGGUUUCAUUAUUAAAGGAUUCCGGUAAAGGAUGGGGAUGCGUUCCAUUAGGUUGUUGGUGAGGUAACGGCUCACCAAGCCUUCGAUGGAUAGGGGUUCUGAGAGGAAGGUCCCCCACAUUGGAACUGAGACACGGUCCAAACUCCUACGGGAGGCAGCAUG
Molecule: ribosomal RNA, 265 nt
Filed under: uncultured bacterium
Lineage: Bacteria
Description: partial 16S ribosomal RNA
Rfam family: Bacterial small subunit ribosomal RNA
Source: RNAcentral